Molecule: ribosomal RNA, 301 nt
Filed under: uncultured bacterium
Lineage: Bacteria
Description: partial 16S ribosomal RNA
Rfam family: Bacterial small subunit ribosomal RNA
Source: RNAcentral
CAGUAGCCGCGGGAAUACGGAGGGCGCGAGCGUUACCCGGAUUUACUGGGCGUAAAGGGCGUGUAGGCGGCCUGGGGCGUCCCAUGUGAAAGGCCACGGCUCAACCGUGGAGGAGCGUGGGAUACGCUCAGGCUAGAGGGUGGGAGAGGGUGGUGGAAUUCCCGGAGUAGCGGUGAAAUGCGCAGAUACCGGGAGGAACGCCGAUGGCGAAGGCAGCCACCUGGUCCACUUCUGACGCUGAGGCGCGAAAGCGUGGGGAGCAAACAGGAUUAGAUACCCCAGUAGUCCCUGUCUCUUAUAC